Molecule: ribosomal RNA, 466 nt
Filed under: uncultured bacterium
Lineage: Bacteria
Description: partial 16S ribosomal RNA
Rfam family: Bacterial small subunit ribosomal RNA
Source: RNAcentral
GAUGAACGCUGGCGGCGUGCUUAACACAUGCAAGUCGAACGAUGAAGCCCAGCUUGCUGGGUGGAUUAGUGGCGAACGGGUGAGUAACACGUGAGUAACCUGCCCUUAACUCUGGGAUAAGCCUGGGAAACUGGGUCUAAUACCGGAUAGGAGCGCCUACCGCAUGGUGGGUGUUGGAAAGAUUUAUCGGUUUUGGAUGGACUCGCGGCCUAUCAGCUUGUUGGUGAGGUAAUGGCUCACCAAGGCGACGACGGGUAGCCGGCCUGAGAGGGGGACCGGCCACACUGGGACUGAGACACGGCCCAGACUCCUACGGGAGGCAGCAGUGGGGAAUAUUGCACAAUGGGCGAAAGCCUGAUGCAGCGACGCCGCGUGAGGGAUGACGGCCUUCGGGUUGUAAACCUCUUUCAGUAGGGAAGAAGCGAAAGUGACGGUACCUGCAGAAGAAGCACCGGCUAACUACGUG